Molecule: non-coding RNA, 29 nt
Filed under: Rattus norvegicus (Norway rat)
Lineage: Eukaryota; Metazoa; Chordata; Mammalia; Rodentia; Muridae
Source: RNAcentral
UGCCUUCUCAGAGAGAGGAAACUGGUGUU